This 460-nucleotide ribosomal RNA is filed under the name uncultured bacterium. RNAcentral's name for it is "partial 16S ribosomal RNA". It matches the Rfam family "Bacterial small subunit ribosomal RNA", at positions 338 to 795 of the family's 1533-position model. The record is from RNAcentral.
CCUACGGGCGGCAGCAGUGAGGAAUAUUGGUCAAUGGACGAGAGUCUGAACCAGCCAAGUAGCGUGAAGGAUGACUGCCCUAUGGGUUGUAAACUUCUUUUAUAUGGGAAUAAAAUGUUCCACGUGUGGGAUUUUGUAUGUACCCUAUGAAUAAGGCACGGCUAACUCCGUGCCAGCAGCCGCGGUAAUACGGAGGAUCCGAGCGUUAUCCGGAUUUAUUGGGUUUAAAGGGAGCGUAGGUGGAUGUUUAAGUCAGUUGUGAAAGUUUGCGGCUCAACCGUAAAAUUGCAGUUGAAACUGGCAGUCUUGAGUACAGUAGAGGUGGGCGGAAUUCGUGGUGUAGCGGUGAAAUGCUUAGAUAUCACGAAGAACUCCGAUUGCGAAGGCAGUUCACUGGACUGCAACUGACACUGAGGCUCGAAAGUGUGGGUAUCAAACAGGAUUAGAUACCCCAGUAGUC